RNAcentral lists this ribosomal RNA (387 nucleotides) under uncultured Geobacillus sp. Its description in RNAcentral is "bacterial SSU rRNA". It matches the Rfam family "Bacterial small subunit ribosomal RNA", at positions 395 to 773 of the family's 1533-position model. Lineage: Bacteria; Bacillati; Bacillota; Bacilli; Caryophanales; Anoxybacillaceae. The record is from RNAcentral.
CACCGCGUGAGCGAAGAAGGUCUUCGGAUGGUAAAAAUCUGUUGUCAGGGAAGAACAAGUGCCGUUGGAACAGGGCGGUACCUUGGCGGUACCUGACAAGGAAACCACGGCUAAAUUCCGGCCCGCCGCCCCGGUAAAACGUAGGGGGCCAACGUUUUCUGGAAAUUUUUGGGGUAAAACGCGCGCCGGCGGUUCUUUAAAUUUGAUGUGAAAUCUCCCGGGUCAACCCCGGGCGGCCCUUGGAAAAUGGGGAACUUGAGUGCAGGAGAGGGGAGGGGAAUUUCCCGGGUAGCGGGGAAAAGGGUAGAGAUUUGGGGGGACACCCGUGGGGAAAGGGGCUCUCUGGCCUGUAACUGACGCUGAGGCGCGAAAGCGUGGGGAGCGAAC